UCGCCCCUUUUGUGCUUGGGCCGAAGUACUGACAGCCUGAGCUGGCCGGCAGGUCCCUAGGUGAACGAGGGCUGGCGGGUGUGUGCUCGCAGGCGUGCGGCUGAGGCGUCUGCUGCUUUAUUCCGUAAUCAGCUCUCGGACCCGCAGCGUCCGGGACGGUGCUGAGGCGGAGGAUGGCGGGCUGGACCUGGAGCUGAACCCGGCGCGGCCGGCCGCGAGCAAACACGGUUCCCGCACGGUAGCGCCGUGUUACAGCCCAACUCAGUUUCUCAGUGCUGUGCGUCAAGUCUGACCUUUAAUGCUCUCAACAGUCCACGCGUCUGUCACCCCAGUUUUCCAGUCCAGGGAGCCAGGAUUAAAAAAAAAAAUUGAGUAGCUGUGCCCAGGAACUCAUAAUCCGUGACCUUCAUGGCAGGACAGCCCUGCGCUCUGCCCCCUGACGUUCUUCACACGCUGGAAUCAGGGAAUCCCGGGACGGAGAGCUGAAGGGUGGGGCUAAACCGGUUUGAGGCAAAAAGUGCAGGGAAGAACAUCUCUGGCAAAUUUGCUUGGGCAAGAAAAGCACUGUGACUACAGUUGAGAGACUAGGAAGAGUGACAGGCGGGCUGAUGGCGCCCCUGACGGCUCAGCCCUGCCCACCUGCAGGGGCCAGGCUCCCGGGGUAGCCGGGGUAGCCGUGCUGUAGGCCUCUAAAUAAUAACACUAGGUGGGGUGGGGGAGUAACUAAAACAGCAUAGUGAUUUUGGUCCCAGUUUUAAUCCCACACCUCCACAAGCCAGAGCUGAGCAAUACUCUUCUAAAGAGAAAAAAAAAAGAAGAAGAAAAACAAACAAAAACCACCCGAGGUGAUGGGAGUCCUGCAGGCUCCCCAUUGAUAACCCUGGUGACAAGAGAGAAAAAGAGAAAGAGUGGCAUGAAGCUUAACUCUUUCAGAUAGAAGAAGAGAGACUGAGCAGAAAGGCAGAAGGAAAGAUGGAAGGACCACAGUACUGAAGCUUCCUCCAGUGCCACUGGGGCCCAACUUGAACCUGGUUUGUGAAUCAUGACAAAGCAGGCACACUACUGAGCCAUGGAAGAACUCCACUCACAGGGAGUUGUGAUAAAUCAGAGCAUCAGCCCUUUCCGUUCGGAUUCCAAUAAGUCUUACACUUCAAAAUUGCUGGCCUAAAAAGGAUUCUUGAGAAGCAGCAUGUCUUCUUUUUUUUCUCUUGAAAGCAACACCAGAAACAGUCUGAUUUCCUUGUACACUUAGAUGCCUACAAAAAAGAAAAGGUCAUUUUCUGUGCUUCCUGAUCUAUCCUCUUUCAACCCCUCAGCAUGCUCCAGUAGACUGCCUACAGAUGGACAUUCUGUUGAGAACUUCCAAACUGUUCCAUGAGACUAAGCAACCAAGCUGAAAAGAGAGGUGACGUUUCCUCAUCUAUUGCUUAGAAUUUUAGGUUUGUUGUAGUUGACUCAGCUUUUGAAUACAAGUAUAUACUUAAAGUAAUCAUGCAAACACUUCUCAUUAUUGCCAGGCUCUGUGUUGAGCAUAUUGUGUUUCUCCAAAACUCACAACGUUCUUUAAAAUCAAGUACUUUUACAACAACAAGGGCAACAGCAAGGCAACAAAAUGGGAAAAAAUGGCUUUUAGGAGCGGUGGACUCCUAGUGCAGGCACUGAGCCAAGCAGUAACCCUGGAGGCAACAACAACAACAGUAACAACAAAAGCAACAAAAAUCAAGUACUAUUAAUGUUUGUCAUUUUGCAAAUGAGAAGUUAAAGCUUAGAAAACUUCAUUGAUUUGCUCAGACAUCACAAGUAAGUCACAGGUUCAUUUUGUAAAAUUUUAGAGUUCAAGCCCUUAGCUGUUGCAGUGUAUUAUCUGGGUAGAAAAUUUAGAAGCAGAUUUGCUAGCAGAAGUCAUGAUUCACAGGCAAAAAGUAAAUAUUUAUUGAAAGAGUUUAUAAAAAAAAAACCCAGCAAAUGUAUUUUGAAGCUGUUUGGAGGAAACAUAAAAAAGACGAGUGGAAAGAAUUAUUACUUCUCUUUGUAAAGUACUACUCAUAGGAUUGGUAGGGUCUGUGUGAUGGCUGCAGAUUGGAAAAGACCAAAAAGCAUAUACCAUCCAACAUUACCUUUAAAUACAAUAACCCCAUAAAGAAAGAAACUAUCAUACAAACACCCAACUCUUUUACAAAUUAAAUGAAACAAAUAUUUCCCUCUUGCCCUGACUUAAUUAAUAUUGGCUUAAAGAAAACCUAAAUCUGUAGAUACUUAGGGAAUUGGGGUCUUAUUCUCUAAAAAGUCAUUGCUUCUCUUUUUUGUCAAUGACAGCAUUUAAAUUAGUUCCAUUUGGAAGCAUUUGCACUCCGGGAUGGGUCUAGCAGCCUAUGCAAUUCAGUGUUGAGCAUGUACAAAAUACAGCAAAGACUAUAUAAGCUAUUAUCUCUUUGUCUUCCAAAUUUUACCAUAGGUAUACCCUUUAAAAAUGUUUUUUAUUGACAUAGAUUUCAGGAGUACACUUCUUACCUCUGUAUGUGAAGAAACUUCAUUGUACCCACUCAUUGUACCAAAGUCCUAGUGCCAUUCCUUUCCACCCACUCUCCAUAAUUUUAGAGAGUGAAAGAUAUGUUCAAAAAUCAUUGGCAGGGCCAGAUGGUAGGUAGCUCAGCGGGUUAAGCACACGUGGUGCCAAACCCAAGGACUAGUUCAAGGAUCCCAGUUCAAGGCCCUGGUUCCCCACCUGCAUGGAGGUCACUUCACAGGCAAUGAAGCAGGUCUGCAAAUGUCUUUCUCUCCCCCUCUCUGUCACCCCCUACUCCUCUAUCAAUUUCUCUCUGUCCUAUCCAACAACAACAACAAGGGCAACAAAAAUGGGGAAAAUGGCCUCCAAGAGUAGUGGAUUAGUAGUGCAGGCACUGAGACCCAGCAAUAACCCUGGAGGCCAAAAAAAAAAAAAAAAAAAAAAAUCAUUGGCUUGAUUCAUGUCCUGUCUCCAAUCAAAUCUUAGCACUCUAUUUUUCUAAGCAUAUUUUGUAUCUUUUCAAUGUCUGUAAGUAAAUUUUCUAGUUCUGUGAAUAUAAAGGGUAAAAGAAGUUUAUCAUGGUGGAAGCCUCUUUCAAUAGCCAUCAGAUCCCUUAAAGUGAAAGUACUUGUUAUUUGUCUUUAGCAAAUAAAACAAACAGCAAUCCUUUGA
Molecule: long non-coding RNA, 3178 nt
Organism: Erinaceus europaeus (western European hedgehog)
Lineage: Eukaryota; Metazoa; Chordata; Mammalia; Eulipotyphla; Erinaceidae
Exons: 4
Source: RefSeq, a predicted model, not a curated record